GACGAACGCUGGCGGUGUGCUUCACACAUGCAAGUCGAACGAGGUAGCAAUACCUAGUGGCGGACGGGUGAGUAACGCGUGGGAAUCUGCCCAUAGGUGGGGGAUAACUAGCCGAAAGGUUAGCUAAUACCGCAUAUGCCGAAAGGUAAAAGGAGUAAUCCGCCUUUGGAUGAGCCCGCGUCCGAUUAGCUAGUUGGUAGAGUAAAAAGCCUACCAAGGCGACGAUCGGUAGCUGGUCUGAGAGGAUGAUCAGCCACAAUGGGACGUGAGACACGGCCCCAUACUCCUACGGGAGGGCAGCAGU
RNAcentral lists this ribosomal RNA (304 nucleotides) under uncultured bacterium. RNAcentral's name for it is "bacterial SSU rRNA". It matches the Rfam family "Bacterial small subunit ribosomal RNA", at positions 28 to 355 of the family's 1533-position model. The record is from RNAcentral.